This 308-nucleotide long non-coding RNA is filed under the name Mytilus galloprovincialis (Mediterranean mussel). The record is from RNAcentral. Lineage: Eukaryota; Metazoa; Mollusca; Bivalvia; Mytilida; Mytilidae.
GCUUUCAAUAUAAGCAUCACUUAAGAGAUCAGUGGGCGAGUUUUCAAGGCGGUGCCAAUACAUAAACAUUUGAAUUACUAUGUUAAUAUAUAAAGGAAAUCUACCUAGCUCUGAUAUAACUCCAAUAUUUGUGCAAUUUUUGGAGACACCAAGUACAUAUUUGCAAAAUUUAAGAUUUAAUUUAUCAGGUUCCCAAUCUUUGAAGAUUUCAAAAAGAUGCAUGGCUCUUCUUUUUGGAGUCAAAUUUAACAUACCCCAUAUUUCACAGCCAUAUAAAGCUAUUGGUUUGAUGGUGUGAUCAAAUAUAU